RNAcentral lists this long non-coding RNA (605 nucleotides) under Pan troglodytes (chimpanzee). Its description in RNAcentral is "lincRNA". The record is from RNAcentral. Lineage: Eukaryota; Metazoa; Chordata; Mammalia; Primates; Hominidae.
CACAGACGCACAUGAAAUUUGGUGCUGUGACUUGGAUUGGGGGACCUCCCUUGGGAGAUCAAUCCCCUGUACUCCUGUUCUUUGCUCCGUGAGAAAGAUCCACCUACGACCCUCAGGUCCUCAGACCGACUAGCCCAAGGAACAUCUCACCAAUUUUAAAUCAGGUGGAGUCUGGCACUGUUGUCCUGGCUGGAAUGCAGUGGUGCAAGCCGACUCACUGCAACCUCUGCCUCUUGGGUUCAAGUGAUUCUCCUGCUUCAGCCUCCUGAUUUGCUGGGAUUGCAGAGCAAACCAGUGAAAAAAUGGCCUUCGCACUCCUGAGAGACCUUUCACCCGGCUUUCUACUUUUGAAUUCUCUCCAUAGCUGGUUUCCUCUUAGGCCCCGAUAGAGCAGUCCCUGAAUCACACAGGUAUGCUGACUACGUCCUUUCCUGGUACAAACCAUCAUGUGGGAAACACACAGCAAGAAGCAUCUUCAGGUCACAAGAUAGGUAACACCAUCUACCUGAAUUUUUUCAAAAGCAGCAGAAUAUUUAGUUUUCUAUUUCAGUGGCUUCUAACAGAGAUCAUUGUUUGCACAAGAUUAAAUGUCUGCAGUCGUUGUC